RNAcentral lists this transfer RNA (72 nucleotides) under Taxoblenus sp. RNAcentral describes it as "tRNA-Asp". Lineage: Eukaryota; Metazoa; Arthropoda; Insecta; Hymenoptera; Tenthredinidae. The record is from RNAcentral.
AAAGAAUUAAUUAAAUUAUAAUAUUAAUAUGUCAUAUUAAAGUUAUUAGUUAUUUAAAUCUAAUAUUCUUUU